This 253-nucleotide ribosomal RNA is filed under the name uncultured bacterium. RNAcentral's name for it is "partial 16S ribosomal RNA". It matches the Rfam family "Bacterial small subunit ribosomal RNA", at positions 524 to 776 of the family's 1533-position model. The record is from RNAcentral.
UACAGAGGUGCCAAGCGUUAGGCGGAAUCACUGGGCUUAAAGCGCGCGUAGGCGGAUGUUUAAGUGUCUUGUGAAAUCCCACGGCUCAACCGUGGAACUGCUGGGCAUACUGCGGGUCUUGGGCCAACUAGGGGCAGCCGGAACAAGCGGUGGAGCGGUGAAAUGCGUAGAUAUCGCUUGGAACGCCGAAGGUGAAAACAGGCUGCUGGGGUUGCGCCGACGCUGAGACACGAAAGCCAGGGGAGCAAACGGG